This 318-nucleotide unclassified non-coding RNA is filed under the name fungal sp. RNAcentral's name for it is "partial internal transcribed spacer region". The stretch from base 1 to 46 matches the Rfam family "Eukaryotic small subunit ribosomal RNA", at positions 1786 to 1831 of the family's 1831-position model. Lineage: Eukaryota; Fungi. The record is from RNAcentral.
AAGUCGUAACAAGGUUUCCGUAGGUGAACCUGCGGAAGGAUCAUUAACACAAUUUUACUGUGAUAAAAUCCAUUGAGUUAUCGAAUACUCUUCGUGAUUCAAUGGUAUCCACCCCAUUAUUGACGAACUUUUGUCUAGAUGUUUGAAGAAAAAAAACAUAGAGCUCGUCUUUGUGUUUUUCAAAACAUUCUAAACCUUUGUCUCUACCCCAUCAAAACUUUUAACCCCUUUUACAAAAUGUCUUAGACUGAAAUGAAAUACUUUCUUAUCAAAAAAAUGAUAAAAAAACAACUUUUAACAACGGAUAUCUUGGUUCUC